This 252-nucleotide ribosomal RNA is filed under the name uncultured bacterium. RNAcentral's name for it is "partial 16S ribosomal RNA". It matches the Rfam family "Bacterial small subunit ribosomal RNA", at positions 1249 to 1500 of the family's 1533-position model. The record is from RNAcentral.
GCGAAGCAGUGAUGUGAAGCGAAACUCAAAAAAGUAAGUCUCAGUUCGGAUUGAAGGCUGAAAUUCGCCUUCAUGAAGCCGGAAUUGCUAGUAAUGGCAGGCCAGCAUACUGCCGUGAAUACGUUCCCGGGCCUUGUACACACCGCCCGUCACACCAUGAGAGUUGGGAAUACCCGAAGCCUGUGAGCUAACUUUUAGAGGCAGCAGUCGAAGGUAGAAUCAAUGAUUGGGGUGAAGUCGUAACAAGGUAAC